GUCGGUAAAACUCGUGCCAGCCACCGCGGUUAUACGAGAGGCUCAAGUUGACAGCCUUCGGCGUAAAGCGUGGUUAGGGACUCACAACAACUAAAGCCAAACCCUCUCAUAGCUGUUAUACGCACUCGAGAGCAUGAAGCCCAACAACGAAAGUAGCUUUACUCCCCCUGACCCCACGAAAGCUGUGAAACAAACUGGGAUUAGAUACCCCACUAUG
Molecule: ribosomal RNA, 217 nt
Filed under: Cyprinodon variegatus (sheepshead minnow)
Lineage: Eukaryota; Metazoa; Chordata; Actinopteri; Cyprinodontiformes; Cyprinodontidae
Description: partial small subunit ribosomal RNA
Source: RNAcentral